This 467-nucleotide ribosomal RNA is filed under the name uncultured bacterium. Its description in RNAcentral is "bacterial SSU rRNA". It matches the Rfam family "Bacterial small subunit ribosomal RNA", at positions 355 to 825 of the family's 1533-position model. The record is from RNAcentral.
UAAGGAAUAUUGGACAAUGGUCGCAAGACUGAUCCAGCCAUGCCGCGUGAAGGAUGAAGGCCCUAUGGGUUGUAAACUUCUUUUGUAUGGGAAAAAACCUCUCUACGUGUAGAGAGCUGAUUGUACCAUAAGAAUAAGGAUCGGCUAACUCCGUGCCAGCAGCCGCGGUAAUACGGAGGAUCCAAGCGUUAUCCGGAUUCAUUGGGUUUAAAGGGUGCGUAGGCGGAAUGAUAAGUCAGUGGUGAAAGCCUGCAGCUUAACUGCAGAACUGCCAUUGAUACUGUCAAUCUUGAGUACAUUUGAUGUGGGCGGAAUGUGUCAUGUAGCGGUGAAAUGCUUAGAUAUGACACAGAACACCGAUUGCGAAGGCAGCUCACAAAACUGUAACUGACGCUGAGGCACGAAAGCGUGGGUAUCAAACAGGAUUAGAUACCCCCGUAGUCCCUGAGCGGGCUGGCAAGGCGCAU